GGCUCAGGACGAACGCUGGCGGCGUGCCUAAUACAUGCAAGUCGAACGGUCUUUCUAUGGAAGCUUGCUUCCACUGAGAAGAUAGUGGCGAACGGGUGAGUAACACGUGGGUAACCUGCCCAUAAGAGGGGGGAUAACAUCCGGAAACGGGUGCUAAUACCGCAUAGUUUUCUUGAUCGCAUGAUCGGGAAAGGAAAGACGGCCUUUGUGCUGUCGCUUAUGGAUGGACCCGCGGCGUAUUAGUUAGUUGGUGAGGUAACGGCUCACCAAGACGAUGAUACGUAGCCGACCUGAGAGGGUGAUCGGCCACAUUGGGACUGAGACACGGCCCAAACUCCUACGGGAGGCAGCAGUAGGGAAUCUUCCGCAAUGGACGAAAGUCUGACGGAGCAACGCCGCGUGAGUGAAGAAAGGUUUUCGGAUCGUAAAACUCUGUUGUCAGAGAAGAACAAGUUGGAGAGUAACUGCUCCAGCCUUGACGGUAUCUGACCAGAAAGCCACGGCUAACUACGUGCCAGCAGCGGC
RNAcentral lists this ribosomal RNA (525 nucleotides) under uncultured bacterium. Its description in RNAcentral is "bacterial SSU rRNA". It matches the Rfam family "Bacterial small subunit ribosomal RNA", at positions 21 to 518 of the family's 1533-position model. The record is from RNAcentral.